This 695-nucleotide long non-coding RNA is filed under the name Coffea arabica (coffee). Its description in RNAcentral is "long non-coding RNA (CARA_LNC008153)". Lineage: Eukaryota; Viridiplantae; Streptophyta; Magnoliopsida; Gentianales; Rubiaceae. The record is from RNAcentral.
GACAUAUUGGUCUUGUUUUGUAACUUCUAACCGUGCAUAACUUUUGAUACAUGUAAUGAAUCAUGACCUGAUUUUAAAUGUGUUUGCAACUUGUAUACGCAAUGUGCUCUUUAUGCUUAGUUAUGCCUUUUCCUGUGCUUAUAGACUUUUCUUAAGUAGGGUAGCAGGAACGAGAAAAGGGGACCGUGACCGAGGGCUUAGACAACCCUGUACUUGUGAGACAAAUUGAUAGACAGUUUCAUAUAAUUUAAUAGGUCCCUAGUACCGAAUAUGAAUCGAACAUAAACCCGAAGAUCCGAUCUACUAGUGUAUAAUGGAUUAACCUAGCUAGAAACUUGGUGAGCUUUUCUUGUGCGCAACAUAUGUUAUGAUUGGUUCUGUGCCAGUAUUUCAAUCUUAGGAAGUUUGAACUCCGAAAGUAUUGCAGUGGGUUGGUAAGAGAACUCGAACUACCUGAAACCGAUUAGACUGAGCUUACUUGAGACUUGAACCUGUUUAGGCUAGUGUGCUCUUGCGUAUCCUCAAUGGACCUAAUUUGACUGAAUAUAUGGAAUGUGGACUUGAAUUUUGUGACUGUUUAAGAAUGUGAAUUGCUGGACAGAGGUUAGGCCAGUGUGUUCUUACUCGUACUCAUGACCCUUGAAUUUGAACUUGAACUUGCACUUGAACUUGAACUUAUACUUUUGUUCGUACUC